AACGCACAUUGCGCCCCUUGGUAUUCCAUGGGGCAUGCCUGUUCGAGCGUCAUUUGUACCUUCAAGCUUUGCUUGGUGUUGGGUGUUUGUCCCGCGUUGCGCGUGGACUCGCCUUAAAGCGAUUGGCAGCCGGCAUAUUGGCCUUGGAGCGCAGCACAAUUUGCGCUUCUGGUCAUGAAUGUUGGCGUCCAUUAAGCCUAUUACAUUUGCUCUUGACCUCGGAUCAGGUAGGGAUACCCGCUGAACUUAA
RNAcentral lists this unclassified non-coding RNA (250 nucleotides) under Phaeosphaeria sp. RNAcentral describes it as "partial contains 5.8S ribosomal RNA, internal transcribed spacer 2, and large subunit ribosomal RNA". Lineage: Eukaryota; Fungi; Ascomycota; Dothideomycetes; Pleosporales; Phaeosphaeriaceae. The record is from RNAcentral. RNAcentral also lists the same sequence under 1 other name.